This 870-nucleotide ribosomal RNA is filed under the name Gloeocystidiellum porosum. RNAcentral describes it as "partial 28S ribosomal RNA". It matches the Rfam family "Eukaryotic large subunit ribosomal RNA", at positions 74 to 955 of the family's 3401-position model. Lineage: Eukaryota; Fungi; Basidiomycota; Agaricomycetes; Russulales; Gloeocystidiellaceae. The record is from RNAcentral.
AUUCCCCUAGUAACUGCGAGUGAAGCGGGAAAAGCUCAAAUUUAAAAUCUGGCGGUCUUUGGCCGUCCGAGUUGUAGUCUGGAGAAGCGUUUUCCGCGCUGGACCGUGUACAAGUCUCCUGGAACGGAGCGUCGUAGAGGGUGAGAAUCCCGUCUUUGACACGGACUGCCAGUGCUUUGUGAUGCGCUCUCGAAGAGUCGAGUUGUUUGGGAAUGCAGCUCAAAAUGGGUGGUGAAUUCCAUCUAAAGCUAAAUAUUGGCGAGAGACCGAUAGCGAACAAGUACCGUGAGGGAAAGAUGAAAAGCACUUUGGAAAGAGAGUGAAACAGUACGUGAAAUUGUUGAAAGGGAAACGCUUGAAGUCAGUCGCGUCGACCGAGACUCAGCCUCGCCUUGGCGUGGUGUACUUCUCGGCCGACGGGCCAGCAUCAAUUUUGGUCCCCGGAAAAAGGCUUGGGAAAGGUGGCACCUUCGGGUGUGUUAUAGUCCCUCGUCGCAUACGGGGGUCGGGAUUGAGGUACUCAGCGCGCAAGCGCUCGGGAUGCUGGCGUAAUGGCUUUAAACGACCCGUCUUGAAACACGGACCAAGGAGUCUAACAUGCCCGCGAGUGUUCGGGUGGAAAACCCGUGCGCGUAAUGAAAGUGAAAGUUGGGAUCCCUGUCGUGGGGAGCACCGACGCCCGGACCAGACCUUCUGUGACGGAUCUGCGGUAGAGCGUGUAUGUUGGGACCCGAAAGAUGGUGAACUAUGCCUGAAUAGGGUGAAGCCAGAGGAAACUCUGGUGGAGGCUCGUAGCGAUUCUGACGUGCAAAUCGAUCGUCAAAUUUGGGUAUAGGGGCGAAAGACUAAUCGAACCAUCUAGUAGCUGGU